GUGGGGAAUAUUGGACAAUGGGCGAAAGCCUGAUCCAGCCAUGCCGCGUGUGUGAAGAAGAUCUUCGGAUUGUAAAGCACUUUAAGUUGGGAGGAAGGGCAGUAAGUUAAUACCUUGCUGUUUUGACGUUACCGACAGAAUAAGCACCGGCUAACUUCGUGCCAGCAGCCGCGGUAAUACGAAGGGUGCAAGCGUUAAUCGGAAUUACUGGGCGUAAAGCGCGCGUAGGUGGUUUUGUAAGUUGGAGGUGAAAUCCCCGGGCUCAACCUGGGAACUGCCUCCAAAACUGCAUGACUAGAGUACGGUAGAGGGUAGUGGAAUUUCCUGUGUAGCGGUGAAAUGCGUAGAUAUAGGAAGGAACACCAGUGGCGAAGGCGACUACCUGGACUGAUACUGACACUGAGGUGCAAAAGCGUGGGGAGCAAACAGGAUUAGAAACCCUUGUAGUCC
Molecule: ribosomal RNA, 450 nt
Filed under: uncultured bacterium
Lineage: Bacteria
Description: partial 16S ribosomal RNA
Rfam family: Bacterial small subunit ribosomal RNA
Source: RNAcentral